RNAcentral lists this long non-coding RNA (381 nucleotides) under Sus scrofa (pig). RNAcentral describes it as "lncRNA (ENSSSCG00025007744.1)". Lineage: Eukaryota; Metazoa; Chordata; Mammalia; Artiodactyla; Suidae. The record is from RNAcentral.
UACAGUGGAGACACCAGCCUCCCCACAGAACAGGUGGAGUGGUACAACUGCAUCCUUUUCUCUCAGCGCAACCCGAGUGGACAUCGACCCGUUCAGAUUUAGCAGAGAUUCUUUUUUUCGCCAGUAUCGGGAUUUGCCUGUGUGAGUGGCUUUAAAAGGAGGAAACCAGAGGUAGGUCUUAACAAUCCUGGUUAUUCCAGAGCCAGUAAACAAUCUUAACUCUCUACUCUGGACCCUAGGAGUGGGCGAGAGAUAAUGAAAAGGAAAGAGAAGAGAUGACUCAGAAGGACUGCAUCGAAGGAAUUGGGGGCGGGGAAGAGGGCUGGGGCACAGCGUGAUUAUAUUUGGUCAUGUUUACUUGUAAACCAGUGUGAUGAAAGA